Molecule: ribosomal RNA, 401 nt
Filed under: uncultured bacterium
Lineage: Bacteria
Description: bacterial SSU rRNA
Rfam family: Bacterial small subunit ribosomal RNA
Source: RNAcentral
CAGGCCUUGACAUCCAAUGAACUUUCCAGAGAUGGAUUGGUGCCUUCGGGAGCAUUGAGACAGGUGCUGCAUGGCUGUCGUCAGCUCGUGUCGUGAGAUGUUGGGUUAAGUCCCGUAACGAGCGCAACCCUUGUCCUUAGUUACCAGCACGUUAUGGUGGGCACUCUAAGGAGACUGCCGGUGACAAACCGGAGGAAGGUGGGGAUGACGUCAAAUCAUCAUGCCCCUUAUGACCUGGGCUACACACGUACUACAAUGGUCGAUACAACGGGAAGCGAAGCCGCGAGGUGGAGCUAAUCCCACAAAACCGAUCGUAGUCCGGAUCGCAGUCUGCAACUCGACUGCGUGAAGUCGGAAUCGCUAGUAAUCGCGAAUCAGAAUGUCGCGGUGAAUACGUUCCC